UACGUCUCACGUAACUGGCGAAAAGUCGCGGCGCAUUGCUGCCUGGCGGCGAAAGGUGGGCAUCCACCGGGGAACGUGAGAUUUCAUCAGCCGUUCGCCUGGGCAGCCACC
RNAcentral lists this non-coding RNA (111 nucleotides) under Janthinobacterium sp. Its description in RNAcentral is "ZTP sequence". It matches the Rfam family "ZMP/ZTP riboswitch aptamer (pfl RNA motif)". From Rfam's summary of the family: Previously known as pfl RNA. Lineage: Bacteria; Pseudomonadati; Pseudomonadota; Betaproteobacteria; Burkholderiales; Oxalobacteraceae. The record is from RNAcentral.